This is a long non-coding RNA of Drosophila rhopaloa, 865 nucleotides long. RefSeq lists it as uncharacterized. The record is from RefSeq and is a predicted model, not a curated record. NCBI's taxonomy places the organism in Eukaryota, Metazoa, Arthropoda, Insecta, Diptera, Drosophilidae. The transcript is spliced from 2 exons.
ACCGACGCUCUCUGGUUCGAAUUAACGGAUCUCAGGCAACAACAAAUGUUUCUCCUGUGAGGCUUUGCGUCUGGAAAAUGCCGUCGUUUACCGUUCCUUCCAACCACAAAUUGUUGCUUUGGCCUUUAAUUUUCAGUGGUUGCAGCUUUAGAGCUGCACAAAAAGCGACGCCCUGGAACAAAAUCGCGAUGCACUCAAGUGCAUUCCGAAACCCCCACACCCACUCACCAUCAGAAUGAAGAUCCAAGUACCGCCGAGCAGCGGGGGGCGUGUCGAGGCGACACACCAACACUCACACACAGCACAACACUCAGGCACGCACACUAAUUCGACUUGGACACACCGACGAGCUUUUUCCUGGGCUGCCAAGCACUGAGGCAACAAUAAACAAUAACUUAAUUAUGUUUUCAGCACUUCGAGGCACUUUUGUGCAGCGGAAUUUACUCGGUUGCUCGCGUAAGGGUGAGGUAAAUAAAUAAUAAUUUUGCAGUUCUUCAGCAGCGUCGUCGCGCGCCAGUGUGACCGCCAGAAAUAAUCGAUAUAAUACAUGGAAUAGUGGAAUUAAAAAUAGCUGGAUUCCACUGGGUUGUGUUUUUACAUCUUACUAAAUGUACUUUUUUAAAAUUUUAAAAUUAAUGUGAUUUUGCCAUUCAUUUUUACAUUGUUAUGUGCAAUCAAAUGUGUAAAAAUAUUGCAAUUAAUAAGCCAAAGGGUGAAAUACUUUAACAAUGAAAAUGUAUACCAUCUAAUAAUAUGAUAAUAUUAUGUAUGUAUCUUUCGAAAACGUACGUAAACCCAUAAACAGAUAUAUUUUAAUUUUCAACCUUAAAUAUUCAUUAAAUCCAUAUUUUUAUUUUGUAAAAUA